This 164-nucleotide ribosomal RNA is filed under the name Triplasis americana. RNAcentral describes it as "5.8S ribosomal RNA". It matches the Rfam family "5.8S ribosomal RNA". Rfam says of the family: 5.8S ribosomal RNA (5.8S rRNA) is a component of the large subunit of the eukaryotic ribosome. The record is from RNAcentral. RNAcentral also lists the same sequence under 1 other name. Lineage: Eukaryota; Viridiplantae; Streptophyta; Magnoliopsida; Poales; Poaceae.
CACAUGACUCUCGGCAACGGAUAUCUCGGCUCUCGCAUCGAUGAAGAACGUAGCAAAAUGCGAUACCUGGUGUGAAUUGCAGAAUCCCGUGAACCAUCGAGUUUUUGAACGCAAGUUGCGCCCGAGGCCUUCUGGCUGAGGGCACGUCUGCCUGGGCGUCACGC